AAAAAAAAAAAAGUUAAAGUAGGGUACUGUAACGAAAGUAAACUCGACAGAUACUAUUACCAAAACAAUAUUGGCCAUUAUCAGAAAGAUUGGACAACUUUUAAUUGAUCAGUGAGUUCAUGCUGCUCAAAUCAAAUAACAGGAACCAAGUCCCUGGAAAGGUGCAUUUCCUUUUUUAGAUGAUGAAUUACAGAUGAACCAUGAAUGAAAAGAGUGUUACAUAACAUUAGCAAACAGUUGAAUAGUACUCCGUGCUAUUAUUCAACCUCCACUAGUUUUGACAACAAACCAGUAUCGACUAUGCAAGUGAUAAGCAUGCAAACUGAGAGGCAUAAGGUGUCUUACCACAGUGCUAAAGAGAACGAUGGUGAUGGUACUGGUGAUCAUGAUUGCAUUUCCACGCAAUAUGGUAUGGCCAGUCCUAGCAAACUGCACAUGUAUCAUUACCAUGUCUUGUCAAUAAAAAGGAGCUUCUAUAAUAUAGUAUGGCAUUUACCGCAUAUAACUGGGUCCCCACUUCUAAUACAUCAUACAAAAUCAUAGUCAUGUGUACACCUUCCUUUAAGAGGAUGGCACUUCCAUUCAAGGAUUUCCUACUUGUAGUCUUACAAGUUUUAAAGAUCUCUUAGAUACAGAUCAACUGGAAGUUUUUGUAUUUGCGGUACUUCAGGCUAAUCUAUGUGUAAUUUGCUCAAAAUGGCAUAAUGAAUAUGCACAUGCAACUAAAACAAUGAAUACAGAUGAUAAUUUGCCCUGUGGAAAUUAGAUGGGAAAAGCCUGUAUGAAGAAACUUAUGAAUAAGUUAUGCACAUCCAGAAUCUUUGCUCUCCAUUACAUCAUUUUUUUUCAAAUUAAGGUUUUAAUUUCAAAAGAAACAACAAUCUAGAUUCCCUUGCAGCAACCAUGAAAAUUUAAAGAGAUUCUUGUUUCUCUUCUAAACCAGUGAUGCUCGAAAAAAGGCUGAGGGGUUCCUUCAAACAGAAUAACCACAGCCAGUCAUACCAAAUAAUAUAACAUGUUCACCUCAGUGAACAUUAAACUACAAGCAUAAGACUCCAUUAAGGGAGACACCAAAAAACAGAAAAACAGGGAAAUUUUUCUUUUUCAUACUAAAGAAACAUUAGAUUUUGUAAGUAAAAGAUCACAUCAAACCUUAUUAUAUGCAAGUGCAAUUGAUACUGCUCCCCUCAUUAGACCAGCCCACCAUAUUAUGACCUGUGGAUUGAAAUUUUAGAAGUUGUUCUCACAUUUGACUUAAUAGAUAUACAAUAAUUUAAGUCCCAAAGACUCACUUGCUGCUUAAAGGUGAUUUUCUCAUUGGGAGACUUCUUACUCAAGUUGGAAAGAAAAGAUAGCGGGAAAACAAAAGCUGCUCUUCCAAUCAAUACCAUACCUAGCAGAAUCGAGCUCACAGCAACUGAUUUUCCAGGGCUGCAUGGCAGGAUAAAUAUUAGAAGCUACCAAAGCAAUCAAAUUAAUAACCAGGGAACAACUUAUAUGCCCAACAUAUAUAAAGUUCACUGUUUGAGUCAGUCUAAUAGUAAAUACGGACAUCUUGUUUUCAACACUAUAAUCUAGUUACAGCCCAUGGUCUUUUCUAAUUUUCUUGAUAUAUGUGACUGCAUAAAAAGUGAGAUGUAAGGGUGCUACCAACUGCAGAUUUAUCUUGAACUUUUCCUUCCAUUCCCUAGUACUAGAAUGGUUCCAUUGAGCUUACCCCAUUACAUAGUAAUAUUAAUAUAAUAUUAUGAUAGACCCAUCAUGUGUUUCAGUGAGAGGCUAGCGGUAAAAUAUUUUUAUUUAUAAUUCCUCAAAGCCAGUUAUUAAGAUUUCAAGUCUGAAAUUCAAAAUUCAUUGGAAAAAAAAAAAAACUAAGAAUAGCAGAAAUUUUAUUGCUAUUUUUGUAAUCCCAAUUGCCCAUCAAUUUAUCAUCCUAUUUAGAGUUGGGCAUCCACUAAAGCCUUCAUAGUUGAUAGUGUUGGGAAGCAGGUAUGCCCUAAAAGCCAAUUGCAUAUUAAAAAUCAUAUCUUGAGAUAUUACAUAAGGAUCUCUUCUAUUCACAGUCAUAAACAGCUAGAAAUUGUUUCACACAUUGGUCUUUGGGGUGGAAAAGACCAUGAGUGUCCCUUAUGGGUAGAAUGAUCAAGUAGACGGUUGUGUAUUCCAUGGGAAGAAUUGGAUCAUUCUACACUUCAAGAUGGUUCACAGCUGUGGAUGAUGUUGGGCAUCAUACUCAUAUGCUUACCAUUAUGUGCAGUGUCCAAUAAUAAUUAGAGUGGCUAUUUUUUCACAAUCAUCAUCAUAGUUGAUCUUGAACUGAUACAUGAGUGAGCUUCACACUGAACCGUCAAUGGGAUAAUGCAACAUCUCUUGGAAACCACCGUCGAAGAUGACAUUCUCGUAUACACAAUAUGAAAGUGAUCCCCUGACUUGAGGGCACGACUACCUACUGUGAUUUUAGUUCAACAAAUUAAAGGCCAAAUCUGUGUAUUAAUUAUGGUACCCCAGAUUUAUCCUUGGAGCACACUGGUUUACCGUGCUGUGUCAUGAGUGGGGGAUCAGGAUUGUCCAACAAGAAAUCUGACUAUGAUAUUUUAUCCACAUUAAACAGAGACAUUGUCAGACACAGAAUCCUGAUACCAAGCUAUGAUUUGAUCGAAUCAUUUUCAUAUUAAAUAAAAUAUUUAUUUUGAAUAAAACCAAAAAUAUUUUAUUCGAACAUGGUUUUGCAUGCAUAUCGGUUUUCAGUUGUCGGUCAUAAUCCAAGAUUCUGAUGGGCCAUGAAGUUAAUUAGCUAUGUAUUUGAAACUGCAUAUAUUCUCUGAAUGAUUAAUCAAGGAUAAAGGAAAGCGGAGGAACUGAAUUGCAAGAGUAAAUGCUAUGCAUGAAGAGAGACUUCUCUAUCCAUUCUACUAGGGACUAGCACGAUCAUACAUAGUUAUAUAUAAGGAGGCUAGCCCACCUUGCUACAUUGUUACCGUGGCACACAUGUCAAGUAAGAUAAGACAUGAUAGAUUAGAAAACCCAAUUGACCUUUGAACCCAUACUUGUUCGUCUUCUUAGCCUUUCACUAAAUCUCUCAAGUUUUCAGACUGGGGUUAAAUAGGAUUGCACAGAUAGAUUAGAAUUGGCAUAGGUAUUGGUUCAAGUAGGCCAACAAACCCAAUUGGCUGUGAUUAUGGGUUAGGGCUAAUCACAGGCCUAGGGCUUCACUAAGUGGUCGGUCCAUUGGGGCUUCCCUAGGUUCCGCCCACUUAUCUAGGGUUUUCUCUCGAGUGGUGUCCAUCCUAUUAUAAAUAGGAGGUGCAUGUGGAGCUUUAGGAUAUGUGUUAAGGCUUCUCAUGUUGAGAUCUCAAGAAAGAGAUCUCACCAUAGCCGCCUACAAGAAAGAUAAUAGAGAGAAGGAAGACUGAAGGAAGAAAGACAAGAAGAUUCAAGUAAUUCUUGGAGGGCCUGUUGAGUGUUGACUGUUGAGUACUCUGUGUAGUGCCUAAAGAAGUCUUCAUCCAUUUACUUCUAUCUUGUAAUGCUCCAACAUCUUCUUGUAGGUAGUAGUCUAUGAUCUAGUACAUGUAACUAUCAUUCUUGGUGAUUUAUCUAAAGAUCCACUUCAAAUAUUCCAUUGCACCAUGAUGUCGGACUACACAAGCAUCCUUCAGAAAGUAUUGCAUUGCUGUUUGAUUUCAGCAAGCUAAAUCACUGUUUAAAAAGGAAAACUCAGGAAUCAAAAACUUGCUUGUCCCAAUAUCCUUUUGGAUAUCAGAUUUCAGAUUUCCUGCAUCAACCAAUGCGGCAUUUUUUUUAUAGCUAUAUCUAAUGGCAAUUCAGAAGCUUAAUCAUGCCCUAGAUAGUGCUUGAUAUCAUGGCUCAAGUUUACUAGUUUGUUGAUGUUGUGAUCUUCUAAUUACUGUUUGUAGCCAAAUGACACACUUAUACAGAAUCCUUUAUAGCUUCAUGAAAGAACACACUUUCAACAUCCAAUGGAUGCUUGUCCCAUUAUCUAUUCUACAACAAAUGACUAAAAAUUCUUGUUUAAGCCAGGCAUCAUUUGCAGGGUCUUUGAAUGAACAUAUUUCUAAUAUAGAAUCUACUCCUCUUGCUCUACCUCAAUCUAAAUUUUUAUCUCUAUGCUUUCAUCAGUUUAAAACUUAAGCAUAUAUGCUUAUCUACAGCUCACUAGUGUCGUCCUAUUGAAAUGUGCCACUGUUUCCCAUUCCAUAUUUUUUAGCAAGGUUUACACCUCCAUAACUUUCCACUAAUUUGGACGAAUUUAAUCCUUCUAUGGUCUAAUUGAUAACGAAUGAAAAGUGUAGUGAAAGAAUAAAAUAAUGUUAAAAGAGAGCUGCAUGAAAAAAAAAUAUAUUUGUUAGAGUGCGAGGUACGAUUAUCUUGCAUUUCUUAAAACAAUAGGGAGCCUAAAAGCAUGGAUAUCAGAUUCAUGGUAGACCACUUGGUCUGAGAGUGAUUGAGGUUCUACAAUACUUAUUCGUUCAUCAUGGCCUCAAUUCUUGUUUGUCCACAACCAACAGAAUUUCUUUCAUAACAAUUGAUUCCAGAAAAUUCAACCUAAGAAAGAUGUAUAGGGGCAAGAAGUAAAUGCAGAAUCAAACUUCUGAAGAUGGAGCUAUUGAAUAACUGGCAACCUUGCUACUGAACUCACCCAGAAAUCAAUCUUCUGCAGUGGUAGGGCAGAACCUUAUGGGUUGAAUUCAUGAAAUAAAAAACAUUAUAAAAAGUAGUUGGUUACAACAUCAUAUCCCUUUUAUGCACAACACAUGCUGCACAAGACUGCAGGCUCUAUAGUCUAUAAUUUGCUGUUCUAUAAACAUCAAAGCAAAGGUCUGCUGCCAUCCUAUGCCGUCCCAUCCCUACUAUAUCAUAUCAGUCAGGUGCUAGUAUGCUAUUGAGUUUCAAUUCUGCAUACGACUCAAACCAGUCUGUAAGGAUUCAGGUCUCAGCGGGACAUUCCAUGGAACACCUGUAAGGGGUACCAUCCCAUGCGUUGAGAUAGGACCAUCCCGCUAUCAUCCCAGCAUCCCAAUCGGGCGGUCUUGGGAUAUCUCUUAUCCCAAGUGUCAACAUGGGGCAGAACGGUGGCACGUCCCAUUUCAUGAGAAAACUGGGACAGCCCAAUCCCACAAGAUUUAAAACCUUGCUAGUCUAUAAUGGUCCGAACCGACUGAAACCACUUCUAUCCGGUACCAACCCAUCCUGCCCAAUUUCGAGUGGUACCAUGGUUGGAAGUGAGAAAAAGUAUUGGAAGCCUAUCUCAAUAUCAGGGUGUCUACUAUACUGCACUGACCAUACCAUACCAAAAUGGUGACAUACCUGUAUGGUUCAUGGAAGUGGUUUUGGGGACCUUAGUUGCAGCUGUUUGGAAAAGCAAACAGAGCCAAAAGCAUAUGAGAGAAAGAACUUUGAUUAGGGGCUAAAAAAGGACCCAUUAUGUCCCGCAUCAUUAUAUUUCAAUGCAGCCAUGUAGGCUAUAUCAACCCACCCACCAGAACAUAUAUUGGUAAUAUCAUGUUUUCUUUAAGUGUAUGGUUGCAUUUCUAAUUAAAAUAGGGAACGAAAUAGAUCAAACUUGAAUUUUUUAGGUGAUUCUUGAAGACAAGAUGCUAUAAAGUACUUGACUAUAAACCUAAGGUUCCAAGAUGUCUCUGAUAGAUUAAGAAGUUGGACCUUUUAACCUAAUAUAUAGAAAACGACAGCUUUGGCCCUGAUGGUAAUCAUGAGAUGCAUGCAAAACAUUAACUCAAUGUCGCUUCAUGAUAAAAUGACAUCAAUGAUGCAAUGUCUUGCAUGCGUGCUUUUGUGCGAUUAAUUAAUAUGAUUUACAUUCACGAAGUUCUAUGUUUGAAAACUAAAGACUGAUAAUGUUUUUUCAUCAGAAACCAAAAGGGCCAUACAAGCCAGCCUUAAGUAGCAUUUGAUAUCAUAGGGAUGAAAUAUGAACAAAUGAACAGUGCCAAUGCAAUCAUGUAUUGAGACCUCACUUAUAGCAUACUGAGAUCUCUUUCUUAUUCUGAUCAUAUAAAAAAUCUUAGAGCAAUUCAAAGAAACUACAGUAUUCUGCUCACGAAGUUUCCGAGCCCACAAACAUUCAUCUAGGAAUGCAACGUAUCCCAUACCUGUUACUGGCCAGCUUCCACUUUUCAAUGUCUAAUGCAUCCAUGCCAACAUAAAGAAAGAGAAAAAUCUCAGCAAUAAAUGAUAAUGUUGCAAAGGCAUGCCUGCAACAGUAAGCAAGCAAAAAGUGAUAUAGUAAUAUCAUAGUAUGAACGGCGAGAGAAAAAACAGGUGAAACAUGAGAAACAAUAGUUUAUACAGCGAGGAGCUAUUAAGAAAUUGCAUACUUGGUGGUAACUCUAGAACUUUCUGUCACAUUAUGCCAAGUAUAGUGAGACAUUACUAUUCCACAGAAGAACACUGUGAGAAUACCACUUAAAUCUAAUAGCUGCAACAAGAAAGAAGCUGUCAGUGACAUUUGAACUUGGUUAAUGAAAUAUGAAGCAUCAUGGAGACAAGGGAAAGACAGACUAUUUUCAAAUAUGUUUGUUGAUUUAAAGAAGAACUCACUUCUGCCAGCAUAUAGGAAAGGUAAGCCAUAAGUAUCAUAAGUGCAACUUCACGAUCAGUAGAAUGCCUGUAUUAAAUGGAAACAUAAGCAAUGAGAUCUUUAGCAGAAAACAGGUAAACUUGAUUUUACUCGUGAAUCGUGAUAAUAUCACAUCAUGCUGCUACAUUAUAAAAUAAUAUCAAUAACUAUGAAAGAGUCAAAGCAAUUAUCAGUGUUCUAUUUAAAGUAUGGAAAACAUAAGAAAAGAAAAAACUGCAGCACAAAUCCAGUUCUUUCAGUACUCCUAUGCUAAUAAAGUUUUACCACUGCUAACCAUAACCAUAGCCAUCCAGCCUUAUGCCAACUAUUUGAGGUUAGCUUUAUGGUAACUACAGUGCAAAAGAAGACAAUAAGACGAGUUUAGGUUUCUGGUAUCUCCAACCUGCCAAAAUACAACUUUUUGAUGAGAUAAGCACUAAACAAUCCAGCCUGCAGAAGAAAGAGAACAAAUAUCAGCCAAAAAUAGAACUGUGCCCAUUUGGAAAAGGACCCAGAAAAGUUGCAAAUUGGAGGGCAAAUAUUUUUUAUGAAUACGCACUACAUCACAGAAGCAUAAGAAACUUACAAAUGCUCCAAGCAAGGUGCUGGUAAAGAAUAGAUAAAAGAAGUUUGCAACAAACUUCAGAACAGUAACAGCAUCAGCAUGUCCUGGAUCAAAGUUCUGGAUUGCUUUAAAGAGCACUAUUGAAGUGGCAUCAUUUACAACACCUUCACCAAAAACCAGGCUAUAAAGUAAAGGCGUCUCAUCCUGACUGAGCACCUGUUUUUCAAGUACACAAUUUCCCAAUAUGGUGAACUAUUGUCUCUUGAACCUGGCCUAUAACACAAAUUUUAGAUGUUCAGAACCUGCAAGGUGCAAACAGAAUCUGUUGCAGAAAAGAUUGCCCCAAUUGCUGCAAAUAUAUAAAUAGAAGGAAGUUUGAGAGCUCAGGAAACAAGUGAAAGCAAAAAAGAGCAUAAGAAUUGAGGUAAAAAUAUAGAAUCAAAGAGUGUGCAAUAAGAAAGCUUACCAAGAUAAUCUCCAGUUUCCAGAUCACCUAUAUCCAUUUUUUUAAUUAUUCCUAUUGCACCUGCACAGUAUAUAAAGGUCGAGAAAUAAAUGUAAUGCAUCAUAUAGAAAAACAUGGAGUAAAAAGUAGAAGAGCACAUGCUCUCAGGGCAAAUCGGCAGUUUCUAUACUUUUUCUCUUCCUGAGAGAUUCCCUAAUCUUUAAAAAUAUUCCUCUUAGAAUCAGGCCUUCUUGAGAUUCCGGAACAACACCUCCAGUAUCACACUAGUUAGAGUCUCCACUCUGGAAACCUCUUAAAAUGCUACUCUUAGAAGAGGCUCAAUAUCAUGCUUCAGUAUAUUGUUUAAUUACUCACAUGGAUCAGAAUAAUGUGAUAAUAUAUAGGGAAAAUGCAAUUUCUGUGUGACUUCCUAUAGAUUAAUAGUUACCGUUUAAAUCUUUUGCAUAUUGUCCACACUAACUACAAAAUUAUCAAUUAAACUAGUAAUAUAUUACUCCCAUGAUGAGAUUUAUAAGAGGCUCCAAACUGUUCCCUUCUAUCCUUUAUCGUUCCACUCAUAGCACUUCUGUAAUGUCUUAGCAAUAUCACAAUGUGAAAAGUUUUGCAAUGGUCGAGAAAAGGUUUAGUUUGCUUCUCACUGUGAAAAUAAACCCAAGGAAGCAGAAAGGCCAGAGCACAAUAAUUUAUGCAUGCAUAUUCAGCAAGCAGAGGCAAUGGAGCACCAGCAAUGAGCAAGAAAAUUUAAAUCAAGUGACAGAGCAGAAAAAAGUAAAACAUACUUGGUUGGAAAAUAAUUAUACAUGCAAAAGCCACCAUCUCCUAGCGGUGCAGCAGGGUUAAAUUUUUAUCACUAAAAAAUAUGGACCCACAUUCAGCUAAAAGUUAGCAUUAAUCACUCCCAAAUGCAAACUUUCUUACUUUUCGUUAAUUAGAUAAAUUCAGAUUUUCAUACUGGACUAUUUUCAGAGGAUAUGUUUGCCAGCAGAAAUGCAGUUAGGAAAAAAAAGGAAGAUAGAGAUAUGAUGAACUUUGAAAAUUUACACCAAUAUUUCAAUUUUCAAAUUCUUUGACAUCCUCUGAAUUUUCAAAUCCCAUGCCUAUUUUAAGAUUUAAAAGGUUUGAAAACUUUUGACGCAAUCUGAUUGUUUCUGCCCACAUCAGUCCUCUGGUAAAAUUCUUGAUAUCAUACAUUAUUUAGCCUCCUAACUAAAUGCUUAAGAAAUCCAUCAACAAAACUAAUUUCAACCAGUGUCUGCUUAACAACUAGAUGCUCAAUGAGCUGUGUCUGAAUUUUCUUGAACUCAGAACUGCAGCGUGCAUGUAUUCAAAAAAGCUAUCUAAUCAAUUCAGAAUAUGCCCCCAUAAGAAGAUAAUAAACUACAUGUGCAAUCCUAAGGUUUCUGUGCAGACAGCAAUGUCAACAAAACACAAUUUCCUAUAAAUAUGAUACGUGCCAAUUUACAAUUUCAUGGCAUAACAGCUUAUCCAAUUGCAUGUAUGCUGAAAUUCCUUUCCUUAGAACAUUUAUAGUGCAACUAAAUACAAAAGAUCGAGAACUUGCCAAGUGAAAUAAUAGUAAAGGAUAUCAGUGUUCCAACUGCACCAAACAGCAUAAUUGUCAUGAAGUUGCGGAAGAACCGUUUCUUUUUGACUUGAAACCUGGUGCAGAAGAAAAUUGGUCAGAAUUUUUACAUGCACUUAAAGUGAUCGCUUAUUGUCAACAUCCAAAACUUCCAGUUUUAACCAGAUCUGCAUAACCAACAGGUGCAAAAAUAAUGCACAGCCAAAUUUAAAAGAAUAAAGCAGAAAGUGCACUUAAUAUGUUUUCCGGAAUUUAGGUAAUAUGAAACUUUGAUGGGAUGGUUCAAAUGAAGUGCAAGUUGAGUCCCUUGUACCAGGUUCUCAAUAGAUCAAGGUUAUUUAAAUUUUAAACAUUUCCGCAUGAAGUUGGGUGAUUCAAAAUAUGCCAUUAUGUUGAAACCCAAGAUUGCACAUUUGGGGAUUUUGUUAUGAAAUGAACUUUAAGCUAGUACAUGCAGACUAAUUGCCAUGUUAGGAGAGAGGAAUAGGCUUACAGAAUGUUAAUUUCUGAGCUUAGUUUUGCAGUAAGUGAUGGACUUUAAUCAUAUUGUUAGUAGAUGGUACCUUUCGAGCUUCUCCAUAGUUACUUUACCUAGCCUCACAUGAAACAUGUUUCGAGUACAUGUUAAAAGCCAUAGCAGUUUAAGCAGCCUGAAUUUGAGUCAUCUUUUAAUGAGUCAUCCUUAAGAUUAAGUUUCCAGAAUCCAUAUGUGGCAAUGAACUCGAUCUUAGAGAAUCAAUCUUCAAGGUCCAAUGAGGCCAAUUUUAACCUGAGAGUCUAUUUUUCAUUUAUUUCCAUUUGUCUUCAUGAAGUAGUUCCCAAAAAAAUUUCUUCAACUGACCUUAUUCAACUUUUAAACGAUCUUGAUGGCUUUAAGUUAACAUAACAUAAAAGGUUUUGUAGAACUCAAUAAACUCAGAAAAAAACUUUAGAGCUCAAAAAAAAAGAAUUCACGAAUAGGACAAAAGUCACCAAAUCAAGACAAAUGAACAUUUACAGCUAAGCAAGAAAACCACUGAGAGGUUUGAAACAACCUUCAAAUUAAAGCUUUAAAUCAAAAGUUGCAAGCACUUGCACGUACAAGCCCGUGUACAUGUGCACAUCCAUAGAUAAAUAUACAUAAUGCUAGGACAAUGCAUUUGCAACUGACAAGUGUGGUGCUUUACCUUUAAUUGUGUGAGAAUUCGUAUUGACAAUGAACAGAGCAUCACUGACAUCUUUAUUGUUGAACUAUUACUCGUAUGUGUUUAUUUUCUUCCAUGCAAACAUUGCAUCCCAAUCCACCACUAAGAUCCAUUAAUUCUCCUGGAACCUCCAAGAAGCUCGAGACAGGAAGAGCGUUGCAAGCACAUUGCACAGACUACAUCUUUAUUAGAAGCAUUGGGAUCUAGGAGGCUCAAGAAUUGUUCCAUUUUUUUUGUACUCUUGAGUAGAAUUAGGAAUUGGCCAUUAUGGAUCCAAUUGGCACUCCCCUUGGUAUUUCAGACAUCUCAAACCAGCUGGAUCCUAAGUUUGACCUCUUUCCAAAGUCUGAUUUGAAACUUCAAAAGCUAGAGCAACAAACCAGAAUCACCAGACCAGAAAUUGCUGCUCAAGCUACAGAGAUGGCAACUCCAUUACCGCCAAACUCAGAAAAUAACCAACAAAAUUAGAUAACCCAUUUUUCAAGGCUUUCUGCAAUGAAAGCAUUCCCUCCUUGAUGGCUAAAAUGGUAUGUUAUGAACAAAAAAAUUGUUUUCACUCUUUUCUUUUUUUUUUGGAUUUAGAGUUGAUACAAAAACUGGAACCUAGAAAUAGAAUUCUCAGUUAAGUGCAUAUUAUGUCCGUCAAAAAAACAAAACCAAAAUAUUAUGGUACAAUUAAAUUAAAACUAGCCAUCCUAUAGAGUGGUACAGCUGAGAGAAUCAGUUACAGCCAAUCACUUUAGAUGUUGCAUGGAAAAAAAAAGCCUUAAAAAACAAAAUAUGUAAUAUUGUAUAAUGGCCAGUGUGGCCAGCCACUGAUGACAACAUGAAACCAAUUAUUCCCAUCUAACACACCCUGAGACUUUGUCCCUCCUUGAUAAACCUACUGGCAAUCCAUUUUAAAUGAUCAUAUACAUGAAAAAGGUAAGAGAGAAUGAUGCUCCAACAACCUUCCAGCAACCAAUGCCAAUUGAAUAAGGAAAGCUGAAACACAUUCAUUCAAUUUUAUUCCGUUUGCAGUAGAUAUUUCCAGAAAUCCGAGUUACAAAUUGAAUCCAAAUACAACAAACAGAGAUGGUCAAGGAAUCAUAGGACUUUGAAGCAGAAACAAAGAAAAUGUUUGACUUCAGAAUUUGCAUUUUGUUCAGAUAUCUGAUAAACUACAAAAUCAGAACAGGCUUGAGUUUGAGAAGUAUAAUGUCCUUCGUUGUCCAUUUUUUUUAUUCUCAAGUUUUACAGUUGGAAUAUGAGCCUAUGAUCAACAUCUUAUUUCUUGCUGUCAGAGAAGUGGCUAAACAAGCUCUUUACCGUUAUAUCUUGCAAAAAUUAGCUUCCAUUAACCUCAAUAUCAUCAGAUAAUGUAGAUUUUCUUAACUAUUACUCAUAUAACUCCUAAAACAUAGCCAAAUAAACCUACGUGCAGAUAAGAGAGCAAUAAUAACAAAGUUAGGCAUCAGCUAAGUGAAAAUGAAGGGAGUCAAGGGACGACAACGAUUGUCGUGAUGGCACUACCCUCAGCCCCUCACUGCCUGAAAAUCCCACCAUCUUAAAUCAUUAACGUUGUUCUGCCCUCAUUAAGGCAGGGCCUGGAGUUGAAAUGCCCACCACGGGUAAUCAAAGUUUUGCCUCAAGAAUAACUAAAGGUUCCGUAACAAAACUUUUAAAUGUAGACAAAAUAAAAAUUGGCUCCGAUGGUAAAACUUAAAAACUGCACUUGGGCGCAUCUUGCAUUUUUUUUUUUUUAAAGCAGAAAAAUAGACCAAAUCCAACACUAUUAGCCAGUUAAAACUAAAUUUAACUCUAAAUCAGAAAACCGUUGUGAAGCCAAAAUUAGAGGUGCAAUUAUCCAACAAAACUUACCCAGCAUUGAAAAUAAUUGGCGGAAGCAAGUAUAUGAAAAAGAGUUCUUCACUGAAGACUAGAAGAUGCGGACUCCUUCCUUUAGUAGUUAGAAGAAUAAUCACUCCAGUGCAGAGCCCCUGACAUCAAACCAGUCCAAUUAUACUAAAUUGCUGCAGUAAAGACCAAAAAGAUUAAAUCUUUAUCUCCAUAGAACUUACGAUAAAAAGGGCAGUGAUGGACUCAUUCAUCCACCGAUUCUCCUCCAGCAAGUGGCCGAUCACUAUACACGCGCACAACAGCGCCACGAAGAGAUUGAUCGACACCACCGACAUGUGAUCAGAGUCAUCAGACGCCGAGAGGACCCCCAUUUUGAUCAUCACCGACCCCAAAUCCAUCGCCAUGGCCCUUCCAGCACCUCAAAAAUCAAAACUUUGGGGCCCAAAAUACAAAAUCUCACCACGACAAAGCGGGAAUCCGAUGCUCUAUGUCUCCGGGGAGUCCAUUCUCCGGGGUCUCACCCUCGGCUCACGAAUUCGAUGCUUGGGUUCGAAUCCUGGAUGGAUUUUUGCAGAGGAGAACUCGCCGAGUGUGGAUUCGAUUCGGGAACUCCAAUAUUGCAGAAAAUCUCGAGAACUGGGAGCUCGGAAAGCAAUAUUAACGAUGGAAUCUCGAGAUAUUUUGGGGCUUUUUGGUUGGAGAGCAAUAUUAGGAGCGCUCUUCCCUCGCUCGAUGAUUGAAGCCAGAGAUGUUAGUACGAACGGACUGCGCGGAGGGAGAAUAAGCAGUGCACGAAAAAGGUAUUACGUGGCAGCAUCCUAUGCUGCUGUUUUCUGUUCCAGAGAGCGCAGGUGAUCCCUCGUCGUACGCCAUAUUUUUCCAGCGCGACUGGUCAACCCAGUCAUUGAACUAGCACAUAAGAAAUGUAUAACUAGCGCAUAGAAAUUUAUAUGCAGAAACUACACUGGCCGUCUGUUAGUAAUCUGACGGGAAACAUUGAUAUCGCAUAUAACCUUUUAUGCUUAUGUUUGUUGGGGUUUAGACCAGUGUGGAGUAAAAUCUUCAUUAUUUUUCGGUAACUAAGGAACCUUCGCUUGGCGGCAAGCACACUUGGAUGAGCUAGAUUGGACGCAGGCCCCCACCUUGAGGGAUCCGUGUGUUCUAGUUUGCUUUGUGCGGUGGCCGUUAGAUGGUUCGAUCAGACGGUCAAGGGCGCAAAAUCUGGCUUUGUUCGAAUAUGUCUUGAUUGGAUAUACUUGGUGUUUGGUGAGCGGUGUGGUAGAGCGUCCCCAAGACGCAACUGGAAGAUCUCAAAAACGUAGUCUCCAACCCACGUCUCCAGAAUUGAAAAUGCUUGCCGCCAAUCUAGAGAAAGCACAUAGAUUUUUUUUUUUUUUCCAUGGAAUUUUUCUUUUUUAAAGAGGACAAGCCAACCUUGUUCAGGUUGAUGCUUUGCACUGAAGAAACCUAAUAGAUUUCUCAAAUUUAGACAUCAACAACAUCUUUUUUCUAACAUACGUGUCCCGUGGAGCAAAAUUUUCCAUGCAAGAAAUAAAUUGCUAUUAAAGAAUCUGAUUCUUCCCAACUAUUUUUCAUGGCAUCUUAUCUUGUAUAUGCCAAUAUAGUCUCUCAUGUGACGCAUAACUCCAAAGUCAUGGUAUCAGCCGCUGGCUUAUUUGAAAGAGUAAAGCUUGCUAAACUUGAUAUUUAGGCAUAAUAUCUGUGCUUGUGGGUCUAGAAGUCAAUAAUGUUGAGUCAUCCUCAUAAAAAAAGAUUUUGAUAAGCUUAUCCAAUGAAAAUUUCGGAUCAAUCACUCUUAUCUUUGUAGUGCUCCAUGCAUUGUUGAGCUUAUAAAAAAAAAAGUUACCAAUGCUCUAUAUACUCUAGAAUAUGUCAAAUCUAUGCAGGAUAUUGUUUUUUUUUUGGUAAGAAAGAUAAUCUUUAUUGACAAUAAAAGUGCAGAUACAACAGUUUGAGCAUAGUCUUAGCACGGAGACAAAAACAAAGAAGGAGCUAGAAAUUCAACUCCAAAACAUGGUGACGAAGUGAAGCAUUAAAAAUGUGGAACCAGCAGCUAUACAGCCAGGGCCGGUCCUGACAUUUUUUAGACCUAGGGCUAAAUGAAAAAAUGAGACCUUCUCUAUUAAAAAUUAACAUACUUUAAAUAUUAAUUAUCAUUGAAAAAUUAAUCUACGUGCAAUAAUUUUUUAUAGAUAUAUUCGUUAAGCAGUGUAUAAAAUCCAUCAUCAACCUAUUUAAUUAUUUUUCUUGUUAUAAUAUUGUAGAAAGCCAUCCUUGCACCUUAUUGGAACAUCAAUACAAGGUCUAGGCCUGGGGCCUGGGGCGGUAGCCCAAUUUGACCUGCCUCAGGGCCGGCCCUGGUUGGGUAUAUAUUUAUGAAAUAAGAGAUGGGAAAUAUUAGGAUGACUGAGGACCUAUUUGGAUGCCAGAAGAAUUUAUUUGCUAGCUAAAAUUUUCUAAUGGGCACAAAAAAAAAUACAAUGGAAAAAUGUUGAAAAAGCUCGGUGUUGCUAGAUGGAGCAGUUAAAUCUAUAUUUUUCAUGAAUAGACAAUACCUUCUUCAAGGUAAUUUAACUUAUCUCUAUAAUAUAUGGAUUGGUUGCUGAUCUGACUAGUAGCCUCUCCCUCUCAAUCACUCUCUUCCCCUCGUAUUUUUAGAAAAAAAACCCCUGGAUAAAAAGGUCUUCUAGCAUCUAAACAGGCACUUAGCUUUUCUCAUAUCCAUACUUUUUAAUCAUGGGAAAGGUAAACUUUCUUUAAAUCUAAGAAUGAAUGAGAUAAGGGUCUUGUUUUGGUAGGAUGAUCAAAAUAAACUCCUUUGUCACCUGCUAUCUCUAUACCAAACUAGACACAAGGCCAUGUCUAUAUAUUAGUAUUCAUUAUCCAUAAAUAAUUUAUGCCUUCAUGAUGCAGAGUACGAUGGAAAGUCCGGUUAGCAAUAACAUGACCCGUGAUUUUGACCAGCUCAUGCGAUUCCAUAUCUCUCCCUUUCAUCACCUCAUAUGUUUUUCUUUAACAUGCACAAGGUUAUUUGCAAAUAACAAAUGUCGGUAUGCAAAUAAGUCCUAAGAGGACAAUUAAAGAUGCGUUUGAUUGUACUUUUUGAUUUUUAAUUUUUAAAAAAUAUUUUUANNNNNNNNNNNNNNNNNNNNCCUAGUGAGAGAUAUAUAUAUAUACAUGUAUAUAUAUAUUAUUGUAGCUUAUACUGUGAGAAUCUGAAGAAUAUGUACGAAAUCCAAAAGUAUGGAGCCUGCAGCUGGAAUUUGAAAACAGAAGACAUCGCAACCCACAAAUAGCAGAAAUCUGAAACAUCCCAUGUGUCGGAAGAUGGAGUAAUAUGGGAAGCUUAUGUUGGCCAUUCACUAUCCAUUGGCAUUUGAAAGAUUCCUUACGAGAUAGAUCUGUUAAUAUAAAUGUCUUCAGAGUUGCAUGAUAGAUCAGACUUCGUGAGCCUACCAUAUGCAAGAUCUCCCUCUUCUGAAAUAAAGCUGAACAGCAAAGUAGUAAUAAUAACCAUAUGAUUGAGAUAACCAUAGCAACAUAGUGAAAAUUGGAUGGUCAAUAGAUAUAAUAGGAAGCUUAGUCGCCCAGUGUAGUAUAAUGAGAAGACCCAGCUCUGUAUCCGAGUUGUUCAGCAAGGAAGUAUGCAGGAUAUUGUUCAUAUUAUGUUGCUUCACGUUAAACAUCCUUCUUGAUUAGUUUCCAUCCUCUUGGAGCUUUCAAUUGAGUCAAUCACUUAUUGUUUAUGAAGUGCAUUUCGCCUUAACAUUUACUUUGCCGUGGCAAUUUUUGUAUUACAAGCAAAGUUAUCCAAACUUUCUCAAUAUUCUCCUAGUUUCAGGAUAUGUGCUGCCCAUCUUAACAUGUCAAGCAUCAAAUAUAGCCUUUGUUUGAUUUGAUGAACAUUUAUAAUUACUUCUCUCAAUGAAACAGAACAGUCAUCAUCAUCUUAAGAAAAACAAACUUACCAUCACCACGCUUCUUAGUCAUGAUCCUCACCGUCCUAGGUGAUGAGCACCAGUAAAAUGCAUUUGGUCAUCUCAUUACAAAAUAUAAUCAUUAGUUUGUUCAAACCAUAACCGUUCAAAACUAUUAUGAAUUCACUCGAUUAUUAGAGUGCUUUUAAUCUUCCAUCACUCACACUGAUGAACAAUUUUCAGGCAAACUGAGUUCCAAAAAGUUCCCAAUAGCCCAUUUUAUUCCUUCCUUUAACGUUAUAACUAUAAACAAUAGUUCUGAUUCAAAAAUUAUCACAUAUUUUUUUAGCACGUUUCAUUAAAAGUAUUCCAGACCAACCAAAUUUUAUUCUCAUCAUUUGUGCUGAGAAGCUACUCUGUUACAGAGUAAUUGACUAAUUUUAUUAAUGAACAAAGCUUUUUAUUUGGGAGAGAGAUAUUUUAUGUGGCUCGGAUUCAAUACAUUCCUUGGGAAGAACCCCAUGCAACAAGUUAUUCCAGAUAGAACAUUAUGACAACUGCGCUCUUUCCCUUUCCACCUCUCCUUGCCAGAGCAAAUGACUGCAAUAGGGUGGCCGGCCCAUAGGGGUAUGAGCCUUAAAGAUCAGGCAAACAAUAAAUGGUAGUCAUGUACAGAUAUUUCUAUGGAAUUAUAUGACACUAUUUAUUGAAUUGCAAUAUGGAUUUCUGAAAGCCAAUCGUUAUUUCAUGAUUGCGAUUCUUCAGGAUAUGGAUCAUGUCAUGUCCCUAUGUGGACAAAGAUUUCAUAAAUGCAGGAUGAUAGAAUUUAAGAUGCUUUUAAAUAUAAAAAUAUUACUUACCAGAGAAGAAAGGAAAGCAGUCCAUGACAUAGACUCUUUUAGCAUCCAAGGAAUUUGGCAAAAAAUGGAAAAGUCUACUUAGAAUCUCAACAUCGAAGCUUGAACUAGACCCAGGACUAUAAUGAGCAUGACUAGCAUCAAUCCAAAGACAUGAACUUAUAGAUGAGGACUGGACUAAUUUCGUGUUUCAUCUCAAAUAGUUUUAUCUUUUUCCAUUGGAUAUCAUUUUGCCUUUCACUUGGUAUCAAUAAAUUGCUUUUGCUUAUAAAGAAAAAAGAAUGAUAUUGUUGGGAUAUACCGACCGCCUCCAUCCGGCCGACCAACUCCAUCCGACCGACCGACUCCAUCCGACCGACCGACUCUACCCGACCGACGGCGGGCAACACCGACAGCGGCUACCGAUUGUGCCCCGACCAGAGCGGAUCGGCCUAACGACCAUACGUCGCCUCCGAUCGCCUAAGGGCCGACCCUCCGUCACCGACUUCCUAUCGGAUGGGACACCGACAACUCACCAUCAGUUUGGAUGACUGACGUUCCACCUCUACAGACCCUCCUAGAUGCCGAAUGAGUGGCGUGGGCUGCGGUCCCAUCAAGUAAACGCCGUACGAACGCCAGGAGGCAUUAUCCUGCCAGAAAGCCUGAGGCGCUGUCCUACUAAGGACGAGAAUUAAUUCCUAGGACCUGUCAACUUUGUCAACGGCGUGACAACCUCCGACGAUUUGACAACUCUCCAGUUGUCUACAUCACCGACGGCGAGGCCAUACCACCUCCUACUAUAAAUCGGGGAGGGCAACAGUGCUAGCGGGGGGGGCUCCAGAGAAAAAAAUGCUCAUGCUCUCCCUCUCUCUCUCUCCCCGCAGAGCUCCUUGUCUCCUUUUUACUGUUGCCUGGUCUCCUCUCUGACUUGACCGUCGGAGGGUCCCCAUCGGAGCUGCCUCCGGUCAGCGUGGACUUUCUUUUGCAGGCGCUCGUUCCCGACGACCAGGCGACGAGGGGAUUGGCCGCAACAGAUUGGCGCGCCAGAUAGGGGGGAAAACAAGGUAGCGGUACUUUAUCUCCACGAAAUUCGAGAUGACAAAGAUAAGAGCUCAACGAUCGAGGGUCACUGGGUCGGUGAGGCGCUCUUCCCGUCGGGAAGAGGCCUCCCCUCCGCCCUCCAUGGCAGAACCCAGCUCUCCACGUCCCGCAGUGACCACGGAGGCACAAAUUGCGGCAAUAGUUCGGCAGAUGACCAUGCUGACAGACGCGGUCAAGAGCCUUCAAAGGCAACCGGUCCGGCAGCCGCCUUCACCGGCCGAACAACCGGCGGCGCGCCCGAUGCCCUCCAGGAGCAGCCGCCGACGUCCGCACCGAUCUCCCUCGCCCCUUCCGGAGCACCUGUCGCAGCGCUCCCCCCAAGAGGAGGAGGGGCGUCCGCGGCGUGACAACCGUCGGUCUCGACGGCCAUCUCCUUCCCAGCUGGAGCGAGCGAGGAAGGAGAAGCGGCCGCGAGCACCGUCUGCUUUCCUUUCGGAUUCGUUGAGAGACUCCACCCCUGGGGUCUCUCAAUACCGACGGAUUGACGACUACGAACGCAGAUUCGAGGAAAUCGACCGUCGGCUUGUCCAGUUGCGGGUGGACGGCCAGAGGUCCUCGAACGACGUUGACUUCCAGACCGUCCAACCUCUCUCCCGACUCAUCCUUGACGAACCGAUNNNNNNNNNNNNNNNNNNNNCAUCGGCUUCCCCGCCACACUACGCAAAGCCGCCAGGGCCUGGUACUCCGAUCUUCGAUCGGGAAGUAUUCACUCCUUCGAGCAGCUUGAGCACUCCUUCGUGACCCACUUUAGUACCAGCCGAAAGUCGCCCCGAACAUCGGACAGCCUUUUCUCCCUUAAACAAGAAAAAAAUGAGACGCUCCGACACUUCGUGGCGCGAUUCAACGCGGCCACGCUCGAGGUUCGGGACCUCAAUGAAGACAUGGCCGUCUCGGCCAUGAAGCGCGGGCUGAGGGCAUCCCGGUUCACCUACUCCCUAGACAAAACCCUCCCCCGAACGUACGUCGAGCUGCUGGAGCGCGCAUACAAGUACAUGCGUGCGGACGAGGGAGCUUCCGACCGGCGUAUGGCCGAGCCCAAAGGCCCGAAGGAGAAGCGGAGGAAGGGUCGGGACCCCGCUGUGCCUAGCAAACCCCCGACCGAUAGUCGGGUCUCACCCCCACGACGGGACCAGAGGUCGCCCCAACGGCGGAGUCCAAGACCCACGCGCCCCAGGUACGAUUCCUACACUCUCUUCUCUGCUCCUCGUGCGUAGAUUUUGAUGGAAAUCGAAGGGGAGGAGUACCUGCGACGGCCUCCGCCUCUGAAGGCAAAGGGCCUCGACCGACAGAAGUAUUGCCGAUUCCACCGGGGCCACGGCCACAAUACCGAGCAAUGCAUCCAGCUUAAGAAUGAGAUCGAAGCCCUCAUCCGUCGAGGAUAUUUCGAUAAAUUUCGGAGGAACCCCCCGACUCAACCCGUUGCCGAAUGACGACCCCAGCCGACUGAAGAAGCAAUGACUAAUCAGCCUACGGUCGGGGUCAUCAACAUGAUUUCCAAACGGCUAGGUCCGGGGACGUCUGCUGGAGGGGAGCCGACGAAGAAGCCACGCCCGGACGAUGUAAUUACUUUUACUGAAGAAGAUGUUCGGGGCAUCCAAACUCCCCACGACGACGCUGUUGUUGUCUCGACAACGAUAGCAAACUAUGAUGUAAAAAGAAUUUUUAUAGAUAAUGGAAGUUCGACAAACGUUUUGUUUUACUCGACCUUUUUCCGGAUGCGACUAUCGACCGACUGACUCAAGAGGGUCUCUACAUCCCUAAUAGGCUUCGCUGGGGACGCCGUCACAACGGAAAGAGAAGUUACUUUACCUGUAACGGUUGGCACCGAACCACGACAAAGCACAGUCCAUUUGACUUUCGCGGUCGUCCAAGUAUCCUCGGCUUAUAACGCCAUACUUGGAAGACUCGGACUAAACGCCCUCAGGGCGAUAGUUUCGACGUACCACCUCCUGGUUCGAUUUUCGAUCAAAAACGGAGUCGGAGAAAUACGCGGAGACCAACAGCUCGCUCGCCGAUGCUUCCAGAUCUCUGCUCAAAGCGAGGAGUUGAAGGUCUCCCUAGCGAUCGACAAGCUAGACCAACGGGAGGAGGAAGAACGGGGUGAACCGGUCGAACAGCUCAUUCCCAUCGCAAUAACGGAAAACCCCGACCGAAAGGUGUGGGUCGGGUCUCAAUUCCCCGACCCCGAGCGACGACAUCUGGUGGAGCUACUAAAAGCAAACACCGACGUAUUCGCCUGGUCGGCGGUGGAUAUGCCGGGAAUUCCCUCAGAGACGAUGACACACCGACUCAACAUCGACCCAACGAUGAGGCCGGUGAGGCAGAAGAAAAGGUCUUUCGCUCCAGAAAGACAGAGGGUCAUCGACGAAGAAGUGGACAAGCUACUCAAGGCGGGCUUCAUCAGAGAGGCCACCUAUCCCGAUUGGCUCGCCAAUGUUGUCAUGGUGAAGAAAACCAACGGGAAGUGGAAGAUCUGCAUCGACUACACCGACUUGAACCGGGCCUGUCUGAAGGACAGUUUUCCACUCCCGAAGAUUGACCAGCUGGUGGAUGCGACGUCCGAAUUUUGACUGCUCAGCUUCAUGGAUGCCUUCGCCGGAUACAACCAGAUUCGGAUGGCACCUAAAGACGAGGAGCACACCACUUUCAUGACCCCCAAGGGCCUCUACUGCUACCGAGUAAUAUCCUUCGGACUGAAGAAUGCCAGCGCCACCUACCAGCGACUUGUCAACAAGGUCUUUAAAGACCAGAUCGGGCGCAACAUGGAAGUAUAUGUCGACGAUAUGCUGGUGAAGAGUUUGCGGAUUCUGAAUCAUAUUCGGGAUCUCGAAGAAACUUUCCGCACUCUACGACGACACCGGAUAAAGCUGAACCCGACUAAGUGCGUCUUCGGGGUGACCUCGGGGAAGUUUCUCGGAUUCCUCAUCUCGCAACGGAGAAUCGAGGCCAACCUCGAGAAGAUCAAGGCCAUCGUCGACAUGCGCCAUCCGAACACCAAGAAAGAAGUCCAGCAGUUGAAUGGAAAAAUCGUCGCCCUCAACUGGUUCAUCUCUCGAUCGGCUGAAAGGUGCCUCCCGUUCUUCAAGACUCUGAGGCAGGCAAGGGGCUUCUCUUGGUCGGACGAGUGCCGGCGGGCCUUCGAGGACUUGAAGGGGUACCUGGCUUCCCCGCUGUUGCUUGUGAAGCCGGAAGUCGGAGAGACGCUGUAUCUCUAUUUGGCCACCUCUCCCGAAGCAGUUAGUUCGGUCCUCGUCCGAGAGAAUGAGAGUCGAAUUCAUCAACCUAUAUACUACACCAGCAAAGUGCUUCAUGGUGCUGAAGCUUGAUACUCAGAGACAAAAAAGAUGAUUUUUGCCUUGACCAUCUCCGCACAACGACUCCGACCAUACUUCUAGGCGCAUGCCAUAGUGGUCCUCACCAACCAGCCCCUGAGGGCGAUAUUGCGCCGACCUGACACAUCGGGACGAUUGGCAAAGUGGACGAUGAAGCUCAGCGAGUUUGACAUACAGUACCGACCGCGACCUGCCUUGAAGGCCCAGGUCCUCGCCGACUUCAUCGCAGAGUGCCCGACGACCGACCAAAGAUCGGAAGGCGAGAACCCCGAAGGAGCUGCGGUCUCCGAGCCUGACCUGGUGUCCACCUGGGUACUGCACAUCGACGGAGCCUCAAACGUCCAGGGGAGCGGGGCUGGUUUCCUGCUCACCAACUCGGAGGGAGUGGUUACCGAACACGCCCUCCGAUUCAACUUCAAGGCCUCCAACAAUCAGGCCGAAUAUGAGGCGCUCGUCGCAGGAUUAAGGUUGGCGCUGGAGCUCGGGGUCGACCGGCUCAAAGUCUUCUCUGACUCUCAACUGAUCGUUGGACAAAUCCAAGGCGAGUUCGAGGCGCGGGAUCCGACCAUGGCCAAAUACCACCAAAAAGUAAAAGAUCUCGUGGCACCCCUCAAGUACUUCGAGAUCUUCCAUAUCCCCAGGUCGGAGAACGCCCGGGCCGACGCACUUUUUAGACUGGCGACUUCAGCUUACGACGCUUUGGGCCGGACGCUUGUGGAGAAUCUCGAGCAGUCGAGCAUCAACAAGGUCGAAGGAGUGCUGCAACUAACGACCGAACCAAGUUGGAUGAAUCCGAUCGUUCGGUACCUGACCGACGGGAUCAGUCCUGAAGAUCCCGCGGAGGCCAGGCGGCUCCGAUGGUCGGCCACCCAAUACGUUAUAAUGGAUGGCCGACUCUACAAAAGGUCUUUCUCCCUUCCCUUGCUCAGGUGUUUGGGACCGACCGACUCAGACUACGCACUCAGAGAAGUGCACGAGGGGAUCUGCGGGAGUCACUUGGGGGGCAGAUCCUUGGCCUACAAGGUCCUGCGGCAAGGCUACUACGGGCCCACCAUGAGGAAGGAUGCGGAUGAGCUGGUCCGAAAGUGUGAACCAUGCCAAAAGUACGCCAACGUGCAACACCAGCCAGCCAGCCAAAUCGCUCCCGUUGUCGCCCCGUGGCCCUUCGCCUAGUGGGAGAUCGACAUACUCGGACCCUUCCUCCGGCAUCCGGACAACGAAAGUUCAUCGUCAUCGUGAUUGAUUACUUUACCAAGUGGGUGAAGGCCGAACCCCUGGCACAGAUUACUUAGCGAAAGAUGGAGGACUUCAUCCAGAAGUCCAUCAUCUUCAGGUUCGGAUUGCUGCAUACCAUUGUCACCGACAAUGGGCGAUAAUUUGACAACCAGGACUUCAGAGACUUCUGCACGAGGUUUCACAUCACGCACCGACUGACUUCUGUCGGACACCCACAGUCCAACGGUGAAGUCGAGGUGACCAACCAGACCAUACUACACGGGCUCAAAACCCGACUGAACAAAGCCAAGGGCCUCUGGGUCGAGGAGCUGAACUCCAUCCUAUGGGCGUACCGGAUGACACCCCGGGUCCCGAUCGGGGAAUCGCCUUUCAGCCUGACCUACGGAACGGAGGCCAUGAUCCCACUGGAGAUCGGGCUACCAUCAACUAGGGUCGAGCAGUAUCAAGAGCCGAACAACUCCGAGUGCCGGAAAGCCGACCUAGACCUCCUCCCCGAGCUUCGGGACGAGGCUCAACUUCGCAUGGCUUCUUACCGACAGAAAGUAGCCCGAUAUUACAAUGCCAGAGUGAAGCCGAAGCUCUUCCGACCCGAAGACCUGGUCUUGAGAAAGACGGAGGUCUCGAAACCCCAAGACCGGGGGAAGUUGUCCCCAAACUGGGAGGGACCCUACAAGGUAGCCGACACCUACAAACCGAGAGCUUACCGGUUGGAGACCCUAGAAGGGACGACCAUCCCACGGACUUGGAACACUAACAAUCUAAGGAUGUACUAUCAGUGAACUCUGUAUCCCCCUCACUUGGAAUACGAACUCAGUUUUUAAACUUCGGAGUCUGGAAUGCCGACUCUUCGACUGUUGUUCGGCGCUCACCAAGGGAUGCGAGUCCCCAGUGUCCCAACUCAGACUUGACGAUCCACUACGAACCGACGGACCGACCGCCAACGAUGCCUCGAACGCUUAAAGGACCGACGCAUCUGCGGCGACGGGAGCUACACUCCUUCUACAUCUAAAAUUUCCGACCAAAAUGAUUGAACGAAACGAUCGGCCGACUCACCGGCCCCGCUCCGACCGGGAAGGGUAAAGCGCCCUAGCAACCAACGUCGCAUUCGCGACUGGCCAACCGGGUCGAGACCGAUCGAAGGGUAUUCGGCUUACCUCCGUUUAUCACACGACGCGAUGCAAGUACCCGAUCUAAGUCUGGGUAGCGGGAACUCGACUUGCCAUCGCUUUCCCGACCAAACCCGUCGACUGCAUAGGAUGAUGUACCAGAUGCAGUCCGAUCGAUCGCAUCGAACGACAUUCGGGUCAUCGAGGGGCACCCGAAGGUCGGUCGACUUUCGUCCCCCCGAAUGACCUUCGACUCCGCUGGCACGACCGACUCAACAGACUCGUGCCUGGAAGUCGGUCGACCCCCGACUCAUGCCAGGACGAUGUACGUUCGACUCUGGCAUUCGGUUUACGACCUAACGACGGACGUCCGGUCCAGGUCUAAGGACGGACGAUUAAUGGUCGGGGUACGUCUUGCUUACCCUAUGACGCACUACCGACUAUCUCGACUGACAACUCGGGAUAUCGUAGGGUGCCCUAAUGCGGUACGUUGGGACUGCGUCUCUCCGACCUUAUGACCCCACGACUACAAGUAUAUCCUGACAGGCAAAGAAAAAAAGUCGAAAAGGAAAUCAGAAAUUUCUUAAGUCCUUUUAAGUCUAUAAAAUCGGGUCGAAGCCCGGUUACAAGUGCGCAAAGAAAAACAAAAAACAACAAAGGAGGACAAGGCCGCGAUCAUCCUUCAGAGUCGAUCUCUUCGAUUGAUGAAAGCUCAGGGAUGACCGACGUAUCUACAAUGAUCGGCACUGGGUCGGUGGCCGGCGCUGGGUCGGCGGACGGCGCUGGAUUGACGGUCGGCGUCGGGUCGACGGUCCGCGUUGGAUCAUGGGCCAGAGCUCGGUCUGGAGUCAGGACCGUCUCUCUUUCGACAACCUGCUCCGGGACAGCCUCUCCCACCGCAGCGACGUCCCCCGACAACGAGUCGGCCAUCUCUUCCGUGGCUUGGUCCUCGACCCCCGGUGGAAUAAUACCGCUGAGGUUCAGCUUCGGGUACAGAGCUUGGACUGCAUCCCGACCGUCUUCGUACCCCACCCGGUACGAUGCAAAGCCGGUCUCCAGCAGCUCCUCCCGAUACCUGUCGGAGCCACGAAAGUCGUCCACCACCCGACUCAGUGACUCCUUCGCCGACCUCGCCUCCGCUUCCGCCCGAUCGAGAGAGUCCUUCGCCGACUCCGCCUCUGCCUUCGCUAUAUCGGCAUCGGCCUGGGCAAUCGACAAGUCCUCCUCAGCCUUGGCGAGGUUCUCCAGGCUGACCCGGAGCUGCUCGCGUUCGGCCUCGAGCUCGGUGGCAACGCCGUCCCGUUCGCGCCGCAGACGGUGCGCAGUCCGACCCUUGCGCUUGGCCUUCUUUCGGGCCAACUUGAGUUCGGACUCGAGACGAGAGACCUCGUCCUCCAGCCUUGCCUCCCGAUCGAUCGACUGCUUUAGGUGUUCGACCAGCGCCGCCUUGUCAGCUUCGACGGCCGUCGCCCUAUCCUUCCAAGCCGCCCGGAUGUUCCCGAACCUCCGAUAUCCGACCUCAAGUUCGGACAUGGUAUAAAUUAGCUGCAAACAUGGAUGCUGCGUCAGGAAAGCGAAAUAAUGAGAACAGUAAGAAGGGAAGAGACGAAGUGGGACUUACCCCGACCAUGGUCGGGUAGAACGAAGAUAGCAUCUCAGUCACCUGCCGAGACCUCAGGACCUCCACGUCGGCUGGGAGAAGGAUCCCCUGACAUAGCCUCCUAGCCAAGUUAUGGUCGGCCAAAGUCGACAAUCCUUCGGGGGCCUGAGCGCCAGGUGACGCGUCGGUACUCCCCGACCUUGGGUCAUCGGCGGGGGCCAUCAGGGCUUUCCCCCGAUCGGUCGCCCCGGCCCGUAGAUCGGGUGGGGAAGGGAUGCUCGAGCUUGACUGAGCACCCCCCGUUGCAGCUCCAGACGCCGUCGGAUGACGUUCGGUUCCCGAACGGCGUCCGACGCCACUCUCAUCGGUGAGGCCGCCGAUGUUCCUUCAGUCACUUCCCCCGUCGGCCGCUCCACCGGUUGCACCAUCGGAGCCGAGAGUGCGAUCACCGGCUCUGACUGUUCGGUCCCCGACGCUGCGACGAUCGGCACCGCUGUUGAGGGUUUCUUCGGCGGUCGUGAGGGUCCGACCCCGGACGCCGGCCUCUUCCUUGCCGCAUAUUGUCUGACUUCAACGUCGGUUGGCCUCAUUCUCGACGCUGUCCCUGCGAUUCCGACAAAAGGAUCAGUAUAUGCUCGAGAACAAAUGCCAAAUAAAAAGACAAUCGAGGGAUCGGGCGGUACCUAGGCGGGGGAUCAGCCUCAGGCCAGCAUCAUAGAGGGCUUGUUCGGUAACAAGUUUUCUCUGCUUCGGGACCGACAUGUCCUUGAGUCGGUGGAAGUCCUCCCGGUCAUCCGCCUCAACCCGGCUGUUCUCGUUUGCCUCGGUUCGGGGCACGCCCCAAUGAGAAGAGAAGCCCCAGGGAGAAGAAGAAGAAACAAAGAAAAACUGGUUCUUCCACCCGUGAAUGGAUGAUGGAAGGCCAGUGAUGAAGGAAAGACCCUUCCGGAGGUUGAAGAACCACCACCCUCGGGCCUUAGGGUGGGGUCGGAGGAUAAAAAAUGCCCGAAAAAGAGAGAUCCGAGGGUUGGUCGGCAGGAGCUGACACAAUAGGGCGAAGCUGAUUAUCAGCCGAAUCGAGUUCGGCGCCAGUUGCACCGGACAGAGUCCAUAAUAAUCUAGCAGAUUUCGAAUGAACUCCGAAAUCGGAAGUCGAAGACCAGUCCGGAGGUCCUCGACGUACAAUGCCACCUAGCCCGCGGGCGGGUUGUUAACCCGACCGCCGGCCCCUGGGGUGGAAAGUCGGAACUGCUCUGGGAUAUGAUACUGAUCCCGAAGCCGAUCAACAUUCAGCCCCGAAAGCGAGAAAACCUCAACUUUCGGAGUCGACCGAAGGUCAUCGAUCGGAUUUUCCGACCGAGCCUCCUGAGGUGAGGUUCUGGCCAUAACACCAGAACCAAGAAGAAGACAAGACCGAAGAAGAGGGAGAAGGAAAAGAAAGGGUUUUAAGGAAAACUAGAGCAAAACAGAAGAGGGGACGGACCCCGAACGAACCCCUGCGAGAGUGGGGGUGGGCGCAGCUGCCGUCGACGACGGAGAGACCGCUUGGACAGAGUCUCCGCAGCAAAACCGUCAGAAAUAGAGCUUCGAGUACAAGUGGCCCCAUAUAUAUAGGGCUGUUCGACGGUCGAGAUGACGCCGCACCGACCAAGACUUCUCGGAUGAGCGACACGUGGCGGCAUCCGGGCCCCCUUCCGAUCCGGCGGUUCGACGCACCCAUCCCAGAAGGGCCACAUCGCCUUCAUUAAAUACGAAGGACAUCGGCCCAACAACCCCUGACGCGUGGCGAAAAGGCCACGAUUCGGAAUUAAAUCGCCUGCGGCAAUUCGCAUCCCCGAUGGGAUGCCUGACAGCGACCCGCGCUCCCAAAACCGGCGCCGGAUGGCGGUUUGCAUUCCCCAAAAGGCGCCGGACACCCGAUCGCCUGACACCGGAUCGUCCGGCACUCGAUCAUCUGACACCCGAUCGCCUGACAUCGGAUCGUCCGGCACUCGAUCGUCUGACACCCGAUCGCCUGACACCGGAUCGUCCGAUACUCGAUCGUCUGACACCCGAUCGCCUGACACCAGAUUGUUUGACGUCGCAUCAUCGAACAACGAGACACCUGACGUCGACUUGCCCGGAUCAUCCCUCCGUGAGAUCAGCAAACUCGGUUCAGGACGCAGCAAAGAAUCCACUCCUCUCGCCGCCCAACGUCCCACCCGCGUGGAGACGCGGGCCAAUGCGACAUCAGGCUCAGGAGUGGGAGGGCAACUGUUGGGAUAUACCGACCGCCUCCAUCCGACCGACCAACUCCAUCCGACCGACCGACUCCAUCCGACCGACCGACUCCAUCCGACCGACCGACUCCGCCCGACCGAUGGCGGGCGACACCGACAGCGACUACCAAUUGUGCCCUGACCGGAGUGGAUCGGCCUAACGACCCUACGUCACCUCCGAUCGCCUGAGGGCCGACCCCCCGUCACCGACUUCCUAUCGGAUGGGACACCGACGACUCACCAUCAGUUUGGAUGACUGACGUCCCACCUCUACAGACCCUCCUAGACGCCGAAUGAGCGGCGUGGGCUGCGGUCCCAUCAAGUAAACGCCGUACGAACGUUAGGAGGCAUUAUCCUGUCAGAAAGCCUGGGGCGCUGUCCUGCUAAGGACGAGAAUUAAUUCUUAGGACCUGUCAACUUUGUCAACGGCGUGACAACCUCCGACAAUUUGACAACUCUCCAGUUGUCUACAUCACCGACGGCGAAGCCAUACCACCUCCUACUAUAAAUCGGGGAGGGCAACAGUGCUAGCGGGGGGGGGGGCUCUAGAGAAAAAAAUGCUCAGGCUCUCCCUCUCUCUCUCUCCCCCCGCAGAGCUUCUUGUCUCCUUUUUACUGUUGCCUAGUCUUCUCUCUGACUUGACCGUCGGAGGGUCCCCGCCGGAGCUGCCUCCGAUCAGCGUGGACUUUCUUUUGCAGGCGCUCGUUCCCGGCGACCAGGCGACGAGGAAAUUGGCCGCAACAGAUAUAUACUUCAUAAAACUAAUAAUAAACUUUGCUUAUUUUAAUAGCAAAAAUUAAAGUAAUAAAAUCUAAAUGUUACCGCCAUAGCUCAAAACAUAAGGUAGAAAACUAACAUUGUGUAACUCAAUCAUUCAUUUUUGCUUGCAUGAUAUAAUUUACAAUCAAACUAAACAAUGAUUCAUCUGAUAUAAAACAUAUAAGAAGAACUAUGUUCAAGUUAUUCAUUUCAUGACAAAGUUAAACUACACCUAUGCUUGACUGCAUCUCUCCCAUAAAAUUUCAGGCAAAAUGAAACAACAUGAUGCAUUCUUUAUUGGACCAGAUUUUGAUUAUAUCAUCUAUGCAACUCAUUAAAUAUAUUUUCACUUCUAAAAGGUGCAAAUAUUAUGCAUUUCUAAUCUAAGAUGAGAAUUAACUUAAAGAAUUGUAUAAUAAAAUCCAAGAAUAAAUAUAUACAACACAUCAAAAGCGAAUACAUGUAAUGCAAAAAGUUUCAUAUCAUUCGUGGGAAGACCAAAUGCAAAGCGGUUGCACCCAUAUUCAACAUGCAUCAAUGACUCUAGAACAUCCAUUCUCAAGAAUCAAUUUCUCCAGCCAUGCAACCUUUACCAAAUAAAAAUGAGGGCAGGAACCCCUUAUUUUGGAUCCUAUAUAUAUAUAUAUUUGGGGUGGGGGGUGUUGUGUGGAGUUUUGCAUCUAUUAUAUAUAUAUAUAUAUAUAUAUAUAUAGAGAGAGAGAGAGAGAGAGAGAGAGUAUUANNNNNNNNNNNNNNNNNNNNUAUAUAUAUAUAUAUAUAUAUAUAUAUAUAUAUAGAGAGAGAGAGAGAGAGAGAGAGAGAUUAAUUGCAAACAAAAACGGUUCUACAUGCAUUUGUAGAUAGACAUUUCUUAUUCUAGAAAUUCUCUAAUAGGAAUCCAACAAUUUUUUUCAUCAAUCGUAGCAAACAACCCUCUUUUUACUUGACCUUUGAAGCUUCUAACUACUUUGCUAUCAUUCUUCUCUAUAUCAUUGCCUUCAAAUUCAAGAUAUACAGAAUAGUAGCGAUAAUGAUACCAAAUCUAACAACAAUAGCAUCAAAAUACAUGAAUGGCUCACUAAUUAGAAACUCGAAGAGCAAAGUUUUUCAGUGACAGCAAGGGAAAGCGGAGGCUUCUCAACCAUGUGGGAACCAGGAAUUUUGGAGACAGAGAAGGUGGAUACCAACAGGGGGGAAGUCACCCGCUUCUCGAUCGCGGGCACCAUGCCUUCUUUCGUCUUCAACCCAAUUGCUGUCGACCCUAAUUGACAAAGAUUAAAGAAAACAACGUACGCAUAUUAAAAAUUUUCAAUGAAAUUAGACCCGAUGAAAACCAAAAGAUGGGGGAAAUGUGCUACCUUAAUAGCCUCGAUAGCGUACUCGACCUGGAAUAACCUUCCCUCCAGCAAGAAAGUGUUGACUCAUCGGUCAUACUCAGUCCUUAAAUCAAAAAAAUAAAAAAGAGAUCAGUAGUUUGAUCAGAAAUAUACGAAGAUUUACCAAAGAAAUGGGUACAAUUCGAGUAAAGAGGGCUUACCUGAUGAGGAACAUCUCGAAGAAAGGAUUGGAAGUGCGAAUCCUAGAGAUGGAUCGAGGGAGGGGGAGAGAGAAAGAGGAGGAGCAGUGAGGGGGUUUUUUUUGAUCCACCGCGCAAUAUGAAGGUGGGCUGCUGCUCAUAGGGGCAAACCGAUGAGGAGUUCGAUGGUAGUGGAAUGCAGAUCGAGAGUGUUUUUGUCAAUAUGAAAAAUGGAGGGAACAUCGAAAAAAUCAAGAAGAUAUGGGGCAAAGGAGAAUAGAAAGAUCGGAGGGGUUCCUUAUCAGAGAUAUGUGGCGAAGGAGAUUAAUUUGUUAUUGAGUAUACGUGUUUUUGUGUGAGUUGUAGCAGUGUGAGCAAAAGAGGGUCGAGGGAAGCCAUGCCGCGGUUGGCCAAGGCGAUGAGGAGGCAGAGGGCGUCAGGAACGUGGUUAGCAUGGGGAGGCCUGGAAGCAUGUGAGGAUCAUAUGUGUGACAUCGUCUGAGAUGUCCUUGCUGAUGUCGGCAUCAUCACCGACCUUUGCGACUACGUCGGGCAGAUCCUUAGGCCUUCUUCUCGUGGGGAGGACGGCAAUGGUGGUGGUGGAAAGGAAGUAGCAGAGCUCGUGGGAGGAGGUGCUGCAGGGGUUGGAGAAAGUUCGAGAGAGGGAGAGAGAGGGACGGGGGGAAGGAAAAAAAUGGAGAGGAGAGGAGGAAAAUUCGGGGACCCCCUCACCCGUAGGGACAAAUAAAUGUGUGUGCGGGGUGGCAGUAUGUGAUGUUCAUGGAUGUUGGGAAGGAGGAGAGAGAAAAAUAAAAUAUAUCAAACAUAUUUAUUAUUCUUGAAAUGAAGAGUCUAAAGGGUCGGAAAUAAUUUUUUUAAUAAAAAAAAUUAGAGAGAUUUACAAAUAUUAUAAUUAUAAAAAGAUUAUUAAAAUAAUUUAAUCUAAUCAAUAUCUAAGCCAAGGUGGAUGUAGGGGAAGGUGGAAGAGGGGGAGUGCAGGGGUUUGAAUUCUGGAGAGGAGCUAUCAUCCUCGAACAUCGGCCAGUUGUUUUUGCUCGUGUUUGGAAAUGACGUGUCGAGGAAUAUACUGGUGUAAUGGAGCAAUCAGAAUAUCAGAUGAGUCUGACCGAUCUAUCUAUUGAAAUUUUUCAGUCUUUUAUUUUUUUCUACUCAAACAAGAUUUUUUUUUGCACGUUUGAUUAUAUUUUUUAUAGCUUUUUGAUUCUUCCAGCAGUUUUUCAUUAACCAGAAUCAUACAUACGAAAGUUUUUUUAUUUUAUUUUAUUUUUAUUCAUAUUUUUACACUGUCGUUGGUGUUAAAAAUUAAGCCUAAAGGGCCAUUGUCUAUACUAUGAACAUUUCGAAGUUAUAGAUUUUUAUGAUGUCGCCGAACUAAAGUUCACAUUCUGUUGGAAGGCUUUCGAGUGAAAGAAAAAUGAUGAUGGAUGACCAUAGCUUCUGCUGUCUAUAUGUAUUAUCGAGAAAUUCAUAAAUUAAAGAGAUUCUUUGAUAAUUUUAAAUGAAUUUAUCAUGGUAUAGUAAUAGCUGAUUAUGGACUUCUCAUGAACUUUGCAACUGCUCAUGAUGAAUAGUGAAUGGUUUAACUCAAUAUGAAUAUCUGUUUCCUAACUUCAGUUCUUUAAAUUUAAAAUAAAUAGUACAUCAAUCUAUAUCGACUAUCCAUCAGUAAAUAUAGGAUACUUAGCUCCCUUUGGAUUGGCUAGCUUUUAUAAAGUGUUGAAGAUGAGGGGACUUGGAUAUGCUACAAACUCCGAACCAGACAAAAAGAUGUGUAUCUAAAUUUAUGUUUUUACUUAGAAUAUUUGAUAUCAUCUAUGAUAUCUUUUAUGUUACGUUGAAGUUUUAAUUUAUAAAAAUAUUAUUUGAGAAAAUAAUUAUAUAGGUUCUAAGCUAGUUACAUGUUAUUGUUCCAACUAGGUGCUAUCUACAAAGAUUUGAACAAUGCUUAUUUUAAUGCAUAAAAAAUAAAAACAUCCUGGGGAUUUUAAUGGUCAGAUAAAGUUGAUUUGUUCUCAUCCAACCACGAAGAGUCUAAAUGGUCGGAAAUAAUUUUUUUAAUAAAAAAGUUAGAAAAAUUUAUAAAUAUUAUAAUUAUAAAAAUAUUAUUAAAAUAAUUUAGCCAAGGUGGGUACUCCGCAGUAGGGGAAGAUGAAAGAGGGGGAGCGCAGGGGUUUAGAUUCUGGAGAGGAGCUAUCGUCCUCGAACGUCAGCCAGCUGUUUUUGCUCGUGUUUGGGAAUGGCAUGUCGAGGAAUGUACUGGUGCAAUGGAGCAAUCAGAAUAUCAGGUGAGUCUGAUCGAUCUAUCUAUUGAAAUUUUUCAGUCUUUUAUUUUUUUCUACUCAAAUAAGAUUUUUUUUUGCACGUUUGAUUAUAUUUUUCAUGACUUUUUGAUUCUUCCAGAAGUUUUUCAUUAACCAGAAUCAUACAUACGAAAGUUUUUUUAUUUUAUUUUAUUAUAUUUUUACACUAUCGUUGGUGUUAAAAAUGAAAUCUAAAGGGCCAUUGUCUGUACUAUGAACAUUUCAAAGUUAUAGAUUUUUAUGAUGUCGCCGAACUAAAGUCCACAUUCUGUUGGAAGGCUUUCGAGUGAAAAAAAAAUGAUGAUGGAUGACCUUAGCUUCUGCUAUCUAUAUGUAUUAUUGAAAAAUUCAUAAAUUAAAGAGAUUCUUUGAGGAUUUUAAAUAAAUUUAUCAUGGCAUAGUAAUAGUUGAUUAUGGACUUCUCAUGAACUUUGCAACUGCUCAUGAUGAAUAGUGAAUGGUUUAACUCAAUAUGAAUAUCUAUUUCCUAACUUCAGUUCUUUAAAAUUAAAAUAAAUAGUACAUCAAUCUAUAUCGACUAUCCAUCAGUAAAUAUAGGAUACUUAGCUCCCUUUGGAUUGGCUAGCUCUUAUAAAGUGUUGAAGAUUAGAAAACUUGGAUAUGCUACAAACUCUGAACCAGACAAAAAGAUAUGUGUAUCUAAAUUUAUGUUUUUAUUUAGAAUAUUUAAUAUCAUCUGUGAUGUCUUUUAUGUUACAUUGAAGUUUUAAUUUAUAAAAAUAUUAUUUGAGAAAAUAAUUAUAUAGGUUCUAAGCUAGUUACAUGUUAUUGUUCCAACUAGGUGCUAUCUACAAAGAUUUGAACAAUGCUUAUUUUAAUGCAUAAAAAAUGAAAACAUCCUGGGGAUUUUAACGGUCAAAUAAAGUUGAUUUGUCCUCGUCCAACCAUGAAGAGUCUAAAAGGUCGGAAAUAAAUUUUUUUAAUAAAAAAGUUAGAAAAAUAUACAAAUAUUAUAAUUAUAAAAAAAUUAUUAAAAUAAUUUAAUCUAAUCAUUUGUCCUCAUCCAACCACGAAGAGUCUAAAAGGUCGGAAAUAAUUUUUUUAAUAAAAAAUUUAGAAAUAUAUAUAAAUAUUAUAAUUAUAAAAAUAUUAUUAAAAUAAUUUAAUCUAAUCAAUAUCUAAACCAAGGUGGGUACUCCGCAGUAGGGGAAGAUGGAAGAGGGGGAGCGCAGGGGUUUGGAUUAUGGAGAGGAGCUAUCGUCCUCGAACGUCAGCCAGCUGUUUUUGCUCGUGUUUGAGAAUGGCAUGUCGAAAAAUGUACUGGUGCAAUGGAGCAAUUAGAAUAUCAGGUGAAUUUGAUCGAUCUAUCUAUUGGAAUUUUUCAGUCUUUUAUUUCUUUCUACUCAAAUAAGAUUUUUUUUUGCACGUUUGAUUACAUUUUUUCAUGGCUUUUUGAUUCUUCCAGCAGUUUUUCAUUAACCAGAAUCAUACAUACGAAAAUUUUUUUAUUUUAUUUUAUUUUAUUCAUAUUUUUACACUGUCGUUGGUGUUAAAAAUGAAAUCUAAAGGGCCAUUUAUGAACAUUUCAAAGUUAUAGAUUUUUAUGAUGUCGCCGAACUAAAGUCCACAUUCUGUUGGAAGGCUUUCGAGUGAAAAAAAAAUGAUGAUGGAUGACCUUAGCUUCUGCUAUCUAUAUGUAUUAUUGAGAAAUUCAUAAAUUAAAGAGAUUCUUUGAGGAUUUUAAAUGAAUUUAUCAUGGCAUAGUAAUAGUUGAUUAUGGACUUCUUAUGAACUUUGCAACUGCUCAUGAUGAAUAGUGAAUGAUUUAACUCAAUAUGAAUAUUUGUUUCUUAACUUCAGUUCUUUAAAUUUAAAAUAAAUAGUAUAUCAAUCUAUAUCGACUAUCCAUCAGUAAAUAUAGGAUACUUAGCUCCCUUUGGAUUGGCUAGCUCUUAUAAAGUAUUGAAGAUUAGGGGACUUGGAUAUGCUACAAACUCUGAAUCAGACAAAAAGAUAUGUGUAUCUAAAUUUAUGUUUUUAUUUAGAAUAUUUGAUAUCAUCUAUGAUGUCUUUUAUAUUACAUUGAAGUUUUAAUUUAUAAAAAUAUUAUUUGAAAAAAUAAUUAUAUAGGUUCUAAGCUAGUUACAUGUUAUUGUUCCAACUAGGUGCUAUCUACAAAGAUUUGAACAAUGCUUAUUUUAAUGCAUAAAAAAUAAAAACAUCCUAGGGAUUUUAACGGUCAAAUAAAGUUGAUUUGUCCUCGUCCAACCACGAAGAGUCUAAAAGGUCGGGAAUAAUUUUUUUAAUAAAAAAGUUAAAAAAAUUUACAAAUAUUAUAAUUAUAAAAUAUUAUUAAAAUAAUUUAAUCUAAUCAUUUGUCCUCAUCCAACCACGAAGAGUCUAAAAGGUCGGGAAUAAUUUUUUUAAUAAAAAAGUUAAAAAAAUAUAUAAAUAUUAUAAUUAUAAAAAUAUUAUUAAAAUAAUUUAAUCUAAUCAAUAUCUAAGCCAAGGUGGGUGCUCUGCAUUAGGGGAAGGUGGAAGAGGGGGAGCGUAGGGGUUUGGAUUCUGGAGAGGAGCUAUCGUUCUCGAACAUCAGCCAGCUAUUUUUGCUCGUGUUUGAGAAUGGCGUGUCGAGGAAUGUACUGAUAUAAUGGAGCAAUCAGAAUAUGAGGUGAGUCUGAUCGAUUCAUCUAUUGAAAAUUUUCAAUCUUUUAUUUCUUUCUACUCAAACAAGAUUUUUUUUUUUACAUGUUUGAUUAUAUUUUUCAUGGCUUUUUGAUUCUUCCAGCAGUUUUUUAUUAACCAGAAUCAUACAUACGAAAGUUUUUUUUAUUUUAUUUUAUUUUUAUUCAUAUUUUUACACUGUCGUUGGUGUCAAAAAUAAAACCUAAAGGACUAUUGUUUGUACUAUGAACAUUUCAAAGUUAUAGAUUUUUAUGAUGUCGCCGAACUAAAGUCCACAUUUUGUUGUAAGGCUUUUGAGUGAAAAAAAAAAUGAUGAUGGAUGACCUUAGCUUCUGCUGUCUAUAUGUAUUGUUGAGAAAUUCAUAAAUUAAAGAGAUUCUUUGAUGAUUUUAAAUAAAUUUAUCAUGGCAUAGUAAUAGCUGAUUAUGGACUUCUCAUGAACUUUGCAACUGCUUACGAUGAAUAGUGAAUGGCUUAACUCAAUAUGAAUAUCUAUUUCUUAACUUCAAUUUUUUAAAUUUAAACUAAAUAGUAUAUCAAUCUAUAUCGACUGUCCAUUAGUAAAUAUAGGAUAUUUAGUUCUCUUUGGAUUGCCUAGCUCUCAUGGAGUGUUGAAGAUGAGAAGAUUUGGAUAUGCUACAAACUUUGAACUAGAUAAAAAGAUGUGUGUAUCUAAAUUUAUAUUUUUAUUUAAAAUAUUUAAUAUUAUUUAUAAUAUUUUUAUAUUAUGUUAAAAUUUUAAUUUAUAAAAAUAUUAUUUAAAAAAUUAAUUAUAUAGAUUCUACGCUACUUACAUGUUAUUGUUUCAACUAGGUGCUGUCUGCAAAGGGUUGGAUAAUGCUUAUUUUAAUGCAUAAAAAAAAAACAUCCUGCGAACUUUAACGGUCAGAUAAAGCUGAUUUGUCCUCAUCCAACCACGAAGAGCGUAUAUUAAUGCAGAAAUAGAAGGGAACGGACUCCACCCCCCUCCGCGGGCCGCGGCAAAACCGAGUUCGUCGUACGCGGCCAAGCGAGAGAGUCCCAGCGAGGCGCCCCCUCGACCUCGCGAGCGGGGCGGCGCGCGAGGUGGAGAGCGAGCGACGAACAAAGAAAGAACGGACCGGUGGUUCAGAAAGCCGGGUGUUUGCUCGCUUUCCGUCGAACGAGGAGGAGGGAAAAUAAAGGAAAGUGGAGUGGAAGGGAAAGAACCGAAGAAACCCUAAUCGAGGGCGAAAGGUACGUCUCUUUCUUGCGAUCGGUUCGAUCUCUGGUAUUAAAUUUCCAGGUGAGCUUUCGGUUAUUGAUUUCGAUUAUGGACGAGUUGCAAAAAAAAAAGAAAAAAGAAAAUCUUGAUUGAUCGACGCUGUUUGAGAUAAGAAUAAUCCGAUGGAGAUGGGGAGACAGAAAGGUUUCUAUUUUUGAAUGUUGAAUUGGAGAAUUUGAGAAUUUGGAUGGAGAGAUAGCCUAAGCCAUAAUGUAGUUGGUAAGAAGCAUGGAAACCAAGAAACAGAUAUCUGUGACCC
This 36385-nucleotide long non-coding RNA is filed under the name Elaeis guineensis (African oil palm). RNAcentral describes it as "long non-coding RNA (EGUI_LNC030454)". Lineage: Eukaryota; Viridiplantae; Streptophyta; Magnoliopsida; Arecales; Arecaceae. The record is from RNAcentral.